UGUGGGAGCUGGCUUGCCUGCGAUAGGAUCGCCUCGGUGUAUUUGGCAGACCGAGUUAAUCCUAUCGCAGGCAACCCAGCUCCCACA
RNAcentral lists this unclassified non-coding RNA (87 nucleotides) under Pseudomonas yamanorum. Lineage: Bacteria; Pseudomonadati; Pseudomonadota; Gammaproteobacteria; Pseudomonadales; Pseudomonadaceae. The record is from RNAcentral.